Molecule: ribosomal RNA, 800 nt
Filed under: uncultured bacterium
Lineage: Bacteria
Description: bacterial SSU rRNA
Rfam family: Bacterial small subunit ribosomal RNA
Source: RNAcentral
AGAGUUUGAUCCUGGCUCAGAGUGAACGUUGGCGGCGUGCCUAACACAUGCAAGUCGAACGCGUCUUGGGGGUAACUCCAAGAUGAGUGGCGAACGGGUGAGUAACACGUGGGCAAUCUCCCCUCGAGUGAGGAAUAAGCCCCCGAAAGGGGGUCUAAUACCGCAUGAUGCCAUGGGGCAUAAGCUUCCAUGGUUAAAGCCGUAAGGCGCUUGAGGAUGAGCCUGCGUCCUAUUAGCUAGUUGGUAGGGUAACGGCCUACCAAGGUUAUAAUGGGUAGCCGGCCUGAGAGGGCGAUCGGCCACACUGGGACUGAGACACGGCCCAGACUCCUACGGGAGGCAGCAGUGAGGAAUUUUGCGCAAUGGGGGAAACCCUGACGCAGCGACGCCGCGUGGAGGAAGAAGGCCUUCGGGUCGUAAACUCCUGUCAGAGGAGAAGAAGUCCUGAGCAAUCAGGAUUGACGGUAUCCUCAGAGGAAGCCCCGGCCAACUACGUGCCAGCAGCCGCGGUAAUACGUAGGGGGCAAACGUUGCUCGGAAUUACUGGGCGUAAAGGGUGUGUAGGUGGCUGAGCAAGUCAAAGAUGAAAUCCCAAGGCUCAACUUUGGAACCGUUUUUGAAACUGCUCAGCUUGAGGAUAGUUGAAGAGAAUGGAAUUCCCGGUGGAGCGGUGAAAUGCGUAGAUAUCGGGAGGAACACCUGAGGCGAAAGCGAUUCUCUAAGCUACUCCUGACACUGAAACACGAAAGCUAGGGGAGCAAACGGGGAUUAGAUACCCCGGUAGUCCUAGCCUUAAACGA